Molecule: ribosomal RNA, 363 nt
Filed under: uncultured eukaryote
Lineage: Eukaryota
Description: partial 18S ribosomal RNA
Rfam family: Eukaryotic small subunit ribosomal RNA
Source: RNAcentral
CAAUAGCGUAUACUAAUGCUGUUGCAGUUAAAAAGCUCGUAGUUGAACUUCUGGUAGGAGUGUCCCGGCCUUUUUGUUUUUACAAAUUGUAUGCUGUGUGACAUCUCUGGCCAUCCUUCUUCUUUGUUUAAAGAAGAUCUUUCACUGUAAAAAAAUUAGGGUGUUCAAAGCAAAAGUUUCUUUGGAAUAUAUUAGUAUGGGAUGAUAAGAUAGGCUCUAGAUGCUAUUUUGUUGGUUUGCACAUUUAGAGAAUGAUUAACAGGGACAGUUGGGGGUAUUCGUAUUUACAUGUCAGAGGUGAAAUUCUUGGAUUUUGGAAAGACGAACUACUGCGAAAGCAUUUACCAAGGAUGUUUUCAUUAA